Ictalurus punctatus (channel catfish) is the source of this 372-nucleotide long non-coding RNA. The record is from Ensembl. NCBI's taxonomy places the organism in Eukaryota, Metazoa, Chordata, Actinopteri, Siluriformes, Ictaluridae.
GUCAUAUACAUGUUUGUACCAUGCUUUGGAAUUUAGGAAUGUUCAAUAUGAAAUAGCGCUAUAUAUAAUGUAAUACUAAGGUUAUAAUUAUUAUACUAUUAUCUUACUCUUACUUUCUUUUAAAUACAGAUUUCCUUUGGGCUCAGAAUUUCCUCUGCACAUUGACAGUGGCGCAGCAAAAUAAGUUGCAGCGUGGGAUUUUGGGAAGACAUCUCUGGCCAUCUGAAGUUAUGGGGCAUCUUUGUGCUCUCAGGAUGCUACCACUGAUCAGGAUGAAGGCCUGAAGGUAAAGGCAAAAUUAAGUGUAUUUUCUCUAAUGUGCAGUGGAAUGCGUAUGUGCUGUACAUAAGCUAUGUGUGUAGUCACUGUUCA